AGAGUCUCUCCUGGGUUUAAUUGC
Molecule: non-coding RNA, 24 nt
Filed under: Arabidopsis thaliana (thale cress)
Lineage: Eukaryota; Viridiplantae; Streptophyta; Magnoliopsida; Brassicales; Brassicaceae
Source: RNAcentral